UUCCAGGCGCACGCGUGUCGGGCGGGCUGCCGCCGCGAGUAUUGAAGGCGCGCGCGAGUCCCGGCGCCCAGUGCAGACGCCAAACUCACCGCGCCCGGACACGCCGCCGCGCCCGGCAAACCACGCGUGCGACUCACGUGAUUCUCACGCGGGAGCGUGAACAAUUUUCGGAAAUUUUUUGUGUUAAUAACUGCAAAUUGCGGAUUGAGAUCGUACGUUUUGUUCGUAAAGUAGACUUCUUAUUGAAGUCGAUAGUGCAGAAAAGACACUGCUCGGUUUGCAAGUCUCAGAUUUGUUUAAGCUUAACUUGGUUGAUGGAAAAUAUACUUGGAUUAUUUUUCUCUCGUGGACAAAAAAUUAUGAUUUUUUGAAAUUCCAUAGGAACAUGUUUUUGUCGAGAUGGUGAUAUUUCAGUGCAUCAGCAUCGCACGGGCAAUAUGGAUGUGACGUGUCCUGAUGAGUGACUCGCCGUGCCGGCCACCAGAGAGCGUUGGCGGCGCAAAAAGACGAAGUACCUGGCCAGAAGGUGCCGGACGGUCGCCAAGCUUAGUCUGGCAAUGUUGCCGAGCUUUUCGUUAAUUUGACGGAGAUCGCAGAUUUGGCAACGCUUCGCCGAGCAUGGUAGCGAAAAGCAGCCACUCUCGCUACCUCAAAGACGGACUUAUGCUGUUUCUGUUUCCGCUCCAUUUUAUCCUGACAUCCGUUUUCGUUGCUCAAGGAGUUGGGGGUUUAAAGGACAUCAGAGUGGAAGUUCCUCAAUACAGAGUCCGAGGCGAAGACGCUGUUCUGAAAUGCCACUACGAUUUGGAGAAUGACUCUUAUAUGCGGUCAAGUGGUACAAGGAGAACGAGGAAUUUUACAGAUUCGUCCAGAGAGCCCACCCUCAAAUCACUUCUUACCGCGUCGAAGGAAUUAAAAUUGACUUGGAGCAGUCAAACAGCACGCAAGUAA
RNAcentral lists this long non-coding RNA (951 nucleotides) under Bemisia tabaci. RNAcentral's name for it is "lncRNA ENSSSA3NGG000839". The record is from RNAcentral. Lineage: Eukaryota; Metazoa; Arthropoda; Insecta; Hemiptera; Aleyrodidae.